AGCAGUGGGGAAUUUUGGACAAUGGGCGCAAGCCUGAUCCAGCAAUGCCGCGUGAGUGAAGAAGGCCUUCGGGUUGUAAAGCUCUUUUGUCAGGGAAGAAACGGUGAGGGCUAAUAUCCUUUGCUAAUGACGGUACCUGAAGAAUAAGCACCGGCUAACUACGUGCCAGCAGCCGCGGUAAUACGUAGGGUGCAAGCGUUAAUCGGAAUUACUGGGCGUAAAGCGUGCGCAGGCGGUUUUGUAAGUUUGUCGUGAAAGCCCCGGGCUCAACCUGGGAAUUGCGAUGAAGACUGCAAGGCUUGAAUCUGGCAGAGGGGGGUAGAAUUCCACGUGUAGCAGUGAAAUGCGUAGAGAUGUGGAGGAACACCGAUGGCGAAAGCAGCCCCCUGGGUCAAGAUUGACGCUCAUG
Molecule: ribosomal RNA, 409 nt
Filed under: uncultured bacterium
Lineage: Bacteria
Description: bacterial SSU rRNA
Rfam family: Bacterial small subunit ribosomal RNA
Source: RNAcentral